AACGAACGCUGGCGGCAUGCCUAACACAUGCAAGUCGAACGGGAUCCUAGCUUGCUAGGUGAGAGUGGCGGACGGGUGAGUAACACGUGGGAAUCUGCCUUUUGGUUCGGGAUAACCGCGGGAAACUGCGGCUAAUACCGAAUGCCCUCGAGAGAGGAAAGAUUUAUCGCCAGAAGAGGAGCCCGCGUCCGAUUAGGUAGUUGGGUGGGGGUAAAGGCCUACCAGCCGACGAUCGGGUAGCUGGUCUGAGAGGAUGAUCAGCCACACUGGGACUGAGAUACGGCCCCAGACUCCUACGGGAGGCAGCAGUGGGGAAUAUUGGACAAUGGGGGCACCCUGAUCCAGCAAUGCCGCGUGAGUGAUGAAGGCC
RNAcentral lists this ribosomal RNA (370 nucleotides) under uncultured bacterium. RNAcentral describes it as "bacterial SSU rRNA". It matches the Rfam family "Bacterial small subunit ribosomal RNA", at positions 29 to 416 of the family's 1533-position model. The record is from RNAcentral.